AUUUAGCCGCUAAAAAGCGGGAUUAUGUUGACCCUUCCGUGACCUAACUGCAGCUUUCUAUAAAGUCGAGAGAGGUCACGGUUAAGCAAGGCGGCCGUGUCUGCGACUCCCCGGACCUGGCUGUCUUUGACGAGCAGCUCGACUCGCAGGCGGCGCGGUCCGUGGGCCUCGUCCUGUCGCAGAUUGGGGACCGGCUGGACUGGCAUGUGAGGGAGGCACAGCAGGCUCGGCGAGCGGGGCCCAGGCUGAGCACCUCCAUCGCGGCCUCACUCUUCACCUUCACCGUUCGCGCUGUCGACAGGCUGAUCUGGGGUUUCUGAAGACUGCAGCCUGUGGAGUUUUUUUUUUUUUUUUUACAGUGUAAAUACAGUAUGCAGUAUGCACUUGCAUAAAAUUUACUUUAAAAUAGAAUUUACUUUAAAAACCUCUUAAGUUUUCAUCAGUAUUGAAAUAUUCGUUUUUUCACUUUGUGAUUAUGAUUUUGUGAUUUGUUUGUUGUCAUUGUUGAUUAAUAGUUUGGUUCUUUCCAACCCGAGGCACCUGCCAUAGCACUGUCAACAGAGCAGGGGCUGGCGACUCAACAGGUCUCACUGAAUGAUUUAGUUUCUGUAUAUCCUCAUCAGGGCUUUAUUGAAUUCAUUUUGAUGAUCACAGUCCUGUCUUGCCCUUUGGGACAAAAAACUGACUUGCAACAGGGAGAUGCAUCUUCUAUAGAAAACACAACGCAUGUCAGAGAUGCCGCUUGCAUAACACAUCAUUAUUCAGUCGUUACACAAGUUUGUGCUGCAUAUGAAAUGGGUUUCUUAUAUUCUGUCCUCGAAAUCCGAGUACCUGUAAUGCAAUUCAAAAAUGAAGUUUAUGUUGCCAUUUAAGAAAAUAAAAGAGGCCA
Acipenser ruthenus (sterlet) is the source of this 889-nucleotide long non-coding RNA. RefSeq lists it as uncharacterized. The record is from RefSeq and is a predicted model, not a curated record. The transcript is spliced from 3 exons. Lineage: Eukaryota; Metazoa; Chordata; Actinopteri; Acipenseriformes; Acipenseridae.